UACGGAGGAUCCAAGCGUUAUCCGGAUUUAUUGGGUUUAAAGGGUGCGUAGGCGGAAUGAUAAGUCAGUGGUGAAAGCCUGCAGCUUAACUGCAGAACUGCCAUUGAUACUGUCAAUCUUGAGUACAUUUGAUGUGGGCGGAAUGUGUCAUGUAGCGGUGAAAUGCUUAGAUAUGACACAGAACACCGAUUGCGAAAGGCAGCUCACAAACUGUAA
RNAcentral lists this ribosomal RNA (216 nucleotides) under uncultured bacterium. RNAcentral describes it as "partial 16S ribosomal RNA". It matches the Rfam family "Bacterial small subunit ribosomal RNA", at positions 524 to 739 of the family's 1533-position model. The record is from RNAcentral.